Molecule: long non-coding RNA, 6834 nt
Organism: Topomyia yanbarensis
Lineage: Eukaryota; Metazoa; Arthropoda; Insecta; Diptera; Culicidae
Exons: 3
Source: RefSeq, a predicted model, not a curated record
CACAACAUUGCUGAGGGCUCUUUCCUAGGAAAUCAAGAUCACCAGAUAGUGUAGUGGUAAAGUUUCAAAUUAAAACGAUUGUCAUGCGGUCAUGAUUAUUUGAGCAAUAUUUCAGAAAAUACGAAACUUCUAGGCCGUUAGCAAAACGAUGUGAAAUGAAAUCUGAACUAAAAUGUUCACCUGCCGGAAUCUCUUGGCUUAAAGAACAACUUUGCUGAAGAGAGCAAAUAUGUAGAUAAGAUUUCGAGAUACAGCAUCUUGAAUUCAUUAUUUUCUAGGUGAUGCUGGGUGUUACAAUACUUAUUGAAGCAAUUCCAAACUUUUGACGGGUAGUGUAUUAUUGUCUACUAUUUGCGCUUAGGAUAUUACCCGCUUUUGCGAAUUAGUAUGAAAAUUAUCAUAGUAAUAAUGUUAAUGUUAUGACAUCGUUUUGGAUUGUUCCAGAAAGACAUUGUGUAUAUUUAAAUAAAGUGCUAAAAACUGUACAUAUAAAAAGUACAUAUAAAAACUGUACUACAUCACAAGCUGGUGAAAAAUAAUAAACAAAGACGGCAAAAGUAAAUGGGAUUGUUUUCAACCAGGAAACUUCAUUAAUGUUCGUGCGACCGGUCGCAAAAAACUCAAUAAGGGUAUAAAGCAAAACACGCCUGUAGUGUAUAAGAUAUUGUUGGAAGAGAAAUAACUUAUCUAAACCCGAAAAUUAUAAGAAAUAUCAUUCCAAUAUUAGAAUAUGUGAGUAAAAAGUAUACAUUCCCACCUUAAUGAACCAUGUAUAUCGAUAUGAAUGUGCAUGCAACAGGGUAAGAACAAGUGGCUCCCAGUGACUAGUGCUUGAGAAAAAAAGUGAAGUAAAUAUGUAUCCGCGUUUUAAAUAGCAUCAUGCACUUUUGGUUUGACGUUGCAAGCUAAUGAAAGCAAGAGACAUUUUUUGGUAGUUUUAUUGAGCUUGAUCGUGUGAGGUGGAAAGAUGCAUUUGGAGAGCGGAAAAAACGACAGAAUAUCAAUGUAUGACGAUAAACAGUAAAACGGAAUUGGUAUUUUUGUUGCCUAGAUGAUGAAUGAGAAGAUGAAAAUACAAAUGAGAACAUGUUUGUUAAAGAUUUCUUGCGUUUUGACUGAAUGUUGAUUUGUGUUUGAAGGCACGAAUCAGGGUUGAAUUGUAUUGUAUUGUAUGUAUUAAAUUCGUGCGAGAGGACGCGAAUUAUGUUUGGAUUCGUGCGAGAGGACGCGAAUCGGAUGGAACAUGAUUAAAUUCGUGCGAGUGGACGCGAAUUAUGUUUGAAUUCGUGCGAGAGGACGCGAAUCAGGUUUCGAUUCGUGCGAGAGGACGCGAAUCGGAAGAAAUAUGUUCGAAUUCGUGCGAGAGGACGCGAAUUAUGGUUGGAUUCGCGUGAGAGGACGCGAAUCAGGUUUCGAUUGGUGCGAGAGGGCGCGAAUCGGAUGGAAUAUGUUUGAAUUCGUGAUGUAGUGUAUAAGAUAUUGUUGGAAGAGAAAUAACUUAUCUAAACCCGAAAAUUAUAAGAAAUAUCAUUCCAAUAUUAGAAUAUCUAUUUUUCGUCAGCCUAUCACAACUGCUUCGACUUGUAGUACUAGGUCACUAACAGCCAUGCAAAGUCUUUUUGGUCACAUUGGCCACCAUCAUCGGUUCCGGAAACCAAGUAUCCAAAUUCAGAAUAACAGUCACAUCGGUUUCUCGGAGAUGGCUUGACCGAAUCAACCAAACAUAGUCUCAAAUGAAAGAUGUUGCGUCCCCGUAAAUGGCUAUUAAAUUUCAUCACGAACCGACUGCCGGUUCCGGAGUUACGGGUUGUGGCGUGCGAUUACAUAGCAAAUUGUGAUUCAAACCGAUACUCCGAUGAAAGCAAAAAAGUUCUAGGUCACCGAUGGCCAAACAAACUUUCGUUGACUACAUUGACCACCAUAGACGGUUCCGGAAGUGCCCGGGCAAAGCGGCCAUCUUUCAAAACUAGCAAACUCAUCAGUUUCUCGGAAAUGGUUGGGCCGAUUUUCACAAACUUAGUCCCAAAUGCUAUAUUAUCCCCACAGAUGCCUGUAAAAUUUCGCACGGAUCGCUUUUAUGGUUCCGGAAAUACAGACUGAACCGUCCGGUCACAUAUAAAAUUCCCAUAUAAGCCGGAACUCAAAAUUUUUUUCAAAGGGGGGACCCCAUGAAAUUUCAGAAAUCGAAUUCGUAUUUUUGAUGCCAAACAUCUUUAAAAUGCACGAAACGUCGAGAUUUUAUGUUAUCACAAAAAAAAUUUUAAUGUAGAAUACAUUUAAGUUUUCAAUAUAGGGGUCCCGUUUCAAAAUAUCGGCUGCGGUGCCGCGUCAGUUUUUGAACGUUAAUAACUUUUAUCAUACUUAACAGAAUGAUUUGAUUUUUAGGCCAAUUUGUUUUAGGCCAAUGCUGUAUUAAAAUUUGAAGUAUGUAUAACAUGCACUAAUAACAAAAAAAAUGUGUUUUGAAAAAUCUUUCGAAAACGACUCGACUUGUUCCUAUGAUUAUUCGUAUUGGGUUGCUUGACGAGAGCAGUUGGUGGGGGAAAGACGGCAUAUUCCUUUGGUUAGGCCAUUAGAAGCCGGACGAAAAGGAAAGGCUCAUGCACGGCACGAGAACGAGCGAGAAAGCGAUAGUAGUGCAUAUUAGCGCGAUUAUAUAAAUAUCUGUCGGUCGGUUUUUCUCAUCAUUCGUAUUCGUUCAAGUACUAGCAAACAGCCAGUCCACCGGAGGAAAGCAGUUGGACGAAUGACGAAGGUCCGAAAAAGUGCCCCAGCUACUGGUGGCCCAUCGCAACCAACUACCGAUCAGGAACUGUCGCCAUGCCAGUAUUUCGCCCUAACUAAAGGGCAACGUUCAAGUACUAGCAAGCAGCCAGUCCACCGAAGGAAAGCAGUUGGCAAUGACGACGGUCCGAAAAAAUUAAGGGUUGUGUACAAGACACGACCACGAUGACAUUAAAAAUGCAGCCAGUUUUAUGAGCAAGCAAUAUUAUCCGUGGCCAAAUUAAAACUCCUUAGUGACUGUUUCAGAACUACACACAGGCAUGCUAUUCUUCACUAGAGAUAAUUGUUGAAUUUUUAAAUUAAAAUCGAUAACCUGUAGUGUGACAAAUUCAAGUUUAAAAAAAGUUUUAUUCAAAUCCACGAAAUGGGAACAUAAAUAAAUGAUGCUUACAAACAAAAGCUUACAUCUAUCUUUAAAUACCUGCUAUCAAAUUAAAUGCUUGCAAGCACGAUAGACAAAUAACUGGUCAUAACUCAAACUAUUCGUAAACGAAGAAAGUUUAACAUAUGUAUCUUUAUAUAUUCGGUGGUUUAAUUAACAUUAACUCUGAAAUGUUCUAUAUUUGGAGUCCAUUGGUGAAAUCCUGGAAAGGACUAUUUGUGAAUCCACAAACACGCGUGCUAUGGAAUGAAAAGUACUAAACUAACUAAGGGCUUUUGGUUUAACAAAAAUAACAUGCAGGAUGGAACAAUUAGUCAGCUGCAAAACAAGGUCUGCCUUCUCACGCUACUUACAUCAGAUAAAUAUUUCGAAAUAAAAAGAAACAACCUUUCCCUUCAGAAUCUAAUAUGAAAUACUGAUAGCUUGAAACGUGACAUCGGCUUUUAUCACUUUCGCACUGAUGAUGGAAGGACUACCUUCAUUCAGAACAACGAAAAAAUAUUUGCGGAUUUUUCACAUCCUCCGAUUUCUAUAAUAUUGCAGACUUUUGGGUUUGGUUUGAUUUUCGCCAAUUUGAGCAUGGCAAUAUACUUUUAAAUAACUGUACAUUUUUGUAUUGUUUCGGAAAGAUAAUUUUAAACAAAUCACAGAUUGUUGUAAAUUUCAGAUUGUCAAUGUACGCACAAGCAACAAGUAACGAAUAUAAACAGCGGAAUUGGGUUAUCGUUGUCAUUGUAAGGAAUUUUUCAAAUUUGUUCUUAAUUGUUAGUUAUAGCCCUGAAAAGGGCUUUUAAUUUACAAAAAUAACAUGUGAAAUGGAACAAUCAGUCAGCCGCAACAACGGUUUGCCGUCUCUUCCAGCCGCGCGCUACUUACAUCGGAUAAAUAAUUAAAAUUGGUAAGAAACAAACAACCUUCCCCUUCAACAGAUAAUUCGAAAUACUGAUAGUUUGAAACGUGACAUCUGCUUUUAUCAUUUUCGCAUUGUUGAUGGAAGGACUGCCUUCAUGCAGAAUAACGAACAAAAUUUUGCGGAUUCUUUUUGGUACGGCUUUCGCUAGUUGGCAGUGUUGCCACAUCCUCCAAUUUUCUGAAACAUUGCAGAAUUUUGAAUUAUGAUUCCGAAAAACUAUUUUUAAUAAAUCAGGUUUUCGCUAAUUUCAACCUGGAAAUGUACUUUAAGUAGCUGCACAUUUUUGUAUUGUUUCGGAAGGAUAAAUUUAAACAAAUAACAGAUUGUUGCAAAUUUCAGAUUGUUAAUAUACGCGCAAGCAACAAAUAACGAAUAUAAACUGCGCAAUUGGAUUAUCGCUGUUAAUGAUUGGAAAUAUUCCAAUUUGUUUUUUGUUUGUUAUUGUUAUAGCCCUUAAAAGGGCUUUUAAUUUAACAAUAAUAACAUGCAGAAUGGAACAAUUAGUCAGCUUCAACUGAGGUUUGCCAACUCUUCCCGCGCUAUUUACAUCGGAUGACUGCCAGCGGUAGCAGUGAUCAAAUGCAGCACUCAUCUCGCAGCGCAUUGUCAACAUGCAUGAUUGCUACUGCUGUUCUUUACGGCCCGUCGCUCGAGAAAUGAUAUUCUUUAAAUAGUCGAGAAUGACGUCAUUCAUAGAAGCGUAGUGUGCUGGGUGCUCAAAUCUAUCGUACGAGACGCUAUAGGCACGACGUUAUUUGUCUGGCAAAAGAGCAACAACUGAUUCAAACAGGCACACGGUACAUUUAUUUAUAACUUUUCGUGUUCGUUUGAAUUUCUAAGCUGCCCUCUGUUGACGGCGCUGCCGGGGAUAGAUUGACUGAUGUAUGGGAGUUUUCACGUUUUCGAGAUCUGUUCAUUUUUGCUUGUUUUUCAAUAGUGUACUAUUGAAAUACAAAAACACUAUAGCAAUAAAACAUAAUUUCAGUUAAUUCCGAAUUGUUUGGUGAUAACCAGACGGAAAUCCGUUCAUAAAUAACAAAGUUAUUAGCGUUCAAAAUAGUGACGCAAAAACGUGACAUCGUUUGAUUUUAGAUUUUAGAAUGACACCCUGUCCCAGAUAGUGCAGUAAGACAUUUUCAAUGUCAAAAGUGCCCCAGCUACUGGUGACCCAUCGCAACCAACUACCGAUGAGGAACUACCCUGAAAGAAUUUCGCCCCAACUAAAGGGCAACAGAGCAGCUAAUCUGUAGGCUAUCGUUCCAGCGUCUGGUUCGUGAGAUUGUACAGGACUGCAAAGUCGAGCUACGCUUACAAAGCUCAGCCGUAAUGAUGCCCCGAGAAGCCAACGAUGCCUACUUGGUCGGUUUGUUCGAGGAUGCAAAAUAGUGCGCCAAGCGCAUAACUUUCAGGCCAAAUACAUUAAACUGGCUCACCGUGUCCGCGGGGAGUGCGUCUGAAUUAUGCUCCCGCAAUAAAACAAUAAACGGUAUUUACAGGACCAAUUAAUUGUGUUCUAAUAAGAGUUAAACUGAAAUCUACAUUUUAUGGUGUAUAACAAAUAAUUUUCAGAAAGCUAUAUAAGAAAUAUGAUGUGUGGAAAGAAAGAAAGAGAAUUUAAAUUAUCCUCUCUCGCUCGUUUUCGUACACUGCUUUUCCAUUCCUUUCUGCUGCUAAUACCACCAUAAAAACGAAUGUGCGUAUUCCCCCACCAUCCCAUGGCCAGUAUCAGCGCUAACAAAUAAGACAAAAGAAUUUGAAUUUGUGAAAAUCUUUUUCUUCCUUCUUUUCAAAUCUGCAACAUUCUUUGAAAAUAUUGUUGGAAUGUUGUUAUUGAAAAACUGAACAUGGAAGUUUGCUAGCACUGGCCACCAGAUUGAAGGCGAUGGAAAGACAGAAUAUUCGUUUUGGUUAUGCUAGUAUUGGUAGUCGAACGGAAAGGAAAGGCACAGGAAUGGCACGAAAACGAGCGAGAGAGCGAUAGUAGUACUUUCUCGUGUGUUCAUAUAUAUUGGUCGGUUGGUUUUUCUCAUCAUUCGUAUUCGUUCGAGCACUAACAAGCAGCCAGUCCACCGGAGGAAAGCAGUUGGCAAUGAUGACGGUCCGAAAAAGUGCCCCAGCUACUGGUGGCCCAUCGCAACCAACUACCGAUCAGGAACUGUCGCCAUGCCAGUAUUUCGCCCCAACUAAAGGGCAACGGAGCAACUAAUCCGCUGGCUAACAUUCCAGCGUCUGGUUCGUAAGGUUGUGUAUUACUUCAAAGUUGAGCUACGCUUACAAAACUUAGCCGUAAUGAAGCCAGUGAUGCCUACUUGGUCGGUUUGUUUGAGGAUACAAAAUAGUGCGCCAAGUACGUAACUUUCUCGCAAAAGAAAUCAAACUGGCUCACAGUGUCCGCUGGGAGUGGGCGUAAAUUACAAUAAAAGCAACGGUUCUUUUCAGGAUCAAUCAAUUGUGUUCUAGUGAGAGUUAAACUGAAACUUUCAUUUUAAAAUGUGUAGCAAAUUUUCAACAAGCAACAUAAUACGUUGUGUGGAAAGAAGUAGCUUGCACACGGAACAAAAAUUUAAAUUAUCCUCUCGCUCGUUUCGUGCACUGCUUUUCCAUUCCUUUCUGCUGCUAUUAUCAGUAUAACCAAAACGAAUGUGCGUGUUCCCUCACCAUCCCUCUAGUGAUCAGUGUUGCUUCAAUUGCAUGUGUUUAAGAGAAACGUUGAAGUCGCAUGCUUCUAUUCGAGCUUUUUGGCAGCCUCCGUGAA